GUCCACGCCCUAAACGAUGAUUACUCGAUCUGUGCGAUACACUGUACGGGUCUAUGCAAAGCAUUAAGUAAUCCACCUGGGGAGUACGACCGCAAGGUUGAAACUCAAAGGAAUUGACGGGGUCCGCACAAGCGGUGGAGCAUGUGGUUCAAUUCGAUGGUACGUGAGGAACCUUACCUGGGCUAGAAUGCAUUCAGACCGAUGCCGAAAGGUGUCUUUCCCGCAAGGGACUGUUUGCAAGGUGCUGCAUGGCUGUCGU
Molecule: ribosomal RNA, 259 nt
Filed under: uncultured bacterium
Lineage: Bacteria
Description: partial 16S ribosomal RNA
Rfam family: Bacterial small subunit ribosomal RNA
Source: RNAcentral